AGUCUACACAAUUUUUGUUUAC
Molecule: non-coding RNA, 22 nt
Filed under: Arabidopsis thaliana (thale cress)
Lineage: Eukaryota; Viridiplantae; Streptophyta; Magnoliopsida; Brassicales; Brassicaceae
Source: RNAcentral